This 427-nucleotide ribosomal RNA is filed under the name uncultured cyanobacterium. RNAcentral's name for it is "bacterial SSU rRNA". It matches the Rfam family "Bacterial small subunit ribosomal RNA", at positions 356 to 795 of the family's 1533-position model. The record is from RNAcentral. Lineage: Bacteria; Bacillati; Cyanobacteriota.
GGGGAAUUUUCCGCAAUGGGCGAAAGCCUGACGGAGCAAUACCGCGUGAGGGAGGAAGGCUCUUGGGUUGUAAACCUCUUUUCUCAGGGAAUAAGAANCUGAAGGUACCUGAGGAAUCAGCAUCGGCUAACUCCGUGCCAGCAGCCGCGGUAAUANCGGAGGAUGCAAGCGUUAUCCGGAAUGAUUGGGCGUAAAGCGUCCGCAGGUGGUUUAUCAAGUCUGCUGUCAAAGAGUUUGGCUCAACCAAAUAAAGGCAGUGGAAACUGACAGACUGGAGUGCGGUAAGGGCAGAGGGAAUUCCUGGUGUAGCGGUGAAAUGCGUAGAUAUUGGGAAGAACACCGGUGGCGAAAGCGCUCUACUGGGCCAUAACUGACACUGAUGGACGAAAGCUAGGGGAGCGAAAGGGAUUAGAUACNCCCUGUAGUC